Molecule: ribosomal RNA, 425 nt
Filed under: uncultured bacterium
Lineage: Bacteria
Description: bacterial SSU rRNA
Rfam family: Bacterial small subunit ribosomal RNA
Source: RNAcentral
GGGGAAUUUUGGACAAUGGGCGCAAGCCUGAUCCAGCCAUGCCGCGUGCAGGAUGAAGGCCUUCGGGUUGUAAACUGCUUUUGUACGGAACGAAAAAGCUCUCUCUAAUACAGGGGGUGAAUGACGGUACCGUAAGAAUAAGCACCGGCUAACUACGUGCCAGCAGCCGCGGUAAUACGUAGGGUGCAAGCGUUAAUCGGAAUUACUGGGCGUAAAGCGUGCGCAGGCGGUUAUGUAAGACAGAGGUGAAAUCCCCGGGCUCAACCUGGGAACUGCCUUUGUGACUGCAUAGCUGGAGUGCGGCAGAGGGGGAUGGAAUUCCGCGUGUAGCAGUGAAAUGCGUAGAUAUGCGGAGGAACACCGAUGGCGAAGGCAAUCCCCUGGGCCUGCACUGACGCUCAUGCACGAAAGCGUGGGGAGCAAAC